ACUCAAAUGAAUUGACGGGGACCCGCACAAGCGGUGGAGCAUGUGGUUUAAUUCGAUGCAACGCGAAGAACCUUACCUGGUCUUGACAUCCUCGGAACUUGUCAGAGAUGACUUGGUGCCUUCGGGAACCGAGAGACAGGUGCUGCAUGGCUGUCGUCAGCUCGUGUCGUGAGAUGUUGGGUUAAGUCCCGCAACGAGCGCAACCCUUGUCCCUAGUUGCCAUCAUUCAGUUGGGCACUCUAGGGAGACCGCCGGUGACAAAUCGGAGGAAGGUGGGGACGACGUCAAGUCAUCAUGGCCCUUAUGACCAGGGCUACACACGUGCUACAAUGGCCAGUACAGAGGGUUGCCAACCCGCGAGGGGGAGCUAAUCCCAGAAAGCUGGUCGUAGUCCAGAUCGGAGUCUGCAACUCGACUCCGUGAAGCCGGAAUCGCUAGUAAUCGCGAAUCAGCAUUGUCGCGGUGAAUACGUUCCCGGGUCUUGUACACACCGCCCGU
RNAcentral lists this ribosomal RNA (498 nucleotides) under uncultured bacterium. Its description in RNAcentral is "partial 16S ribosomal RNA". It matches the Rfam family "Bacterial small subunit ribosomal RNA", at positions 899 to 1397 of the family's 1533-position model. The record is from RNAcentral.